This 754-nucleotide long non-coding RNA is filed under the name Triticum aestivum (bread wheat). RNAcentral describes it as "long non-coding RNA (TAES_LNC015890)". Lineage: Eukaryota; Viridiplantae; Streptophyta; Magnoliopsida; Poales; Poaceae. The record is from RNAcentral.
ACGGGUUAUUCUGUUUCUUCAGAUAGGGACUCCUGUUUUUUGAUGGGGUUUUACAGUUUAGCUGCACGAUCAGUUUUUUCAAUGUGGUCAGUCAAUUCGGCGAAGAUGGAAGGAGGCGGUAGCGUGUACCACCAAGGCGCCGCAAACGGCGGCGCUUCGCUCGCCCCGGGGACAUCGGGAAGGCCUCCGCCAGGUACGAGCCGCAGCCAGCGUACGCGCGGGGGCAAAAAUGCUACUUACGAAUCAAUUCUAGGUAACCUUUCGCACCUUCCUUCUCCAUUAAUCAAGACUUUCCCCCGAUUUUCAGGGUGGGCCCGGGCGCCCCUAAUGACUAAUGAUAGCCCUCCAAAUAAAUAAAAAAGUACUUCCUUCGUUUCAAAAUAGAUGACUUAACUUUGUACUAAGGGAGUACGUUUCAGGGGGACACGGCGAUGGGCGCGGGGGAGAUGAACAGAACGUCGGAAGGAUGAAGAAGGCAUCUGGCCGUUCCUUGCAUCAGAUGGCUGGAAACACAUUUGAUACAUCCAAAUUAACAUAUCAGUCGACUUACCUCUAGCCAAUCCCAGUGUUUCAACUUGCGCUCUAUAUGCCCUCAAAAGAAAGUACGCGCGCUCUCACUUUUUUGAGUUGGAAAAUACUUUUUGCUCUAUAUACAUGUGUAUAUAUGCUCCAUCUAAGAUGCUUGUAGCGACACCUUUAUUACUAAAUAGCUGCAACGAGCUAUUUUUCGCAAGGAGCAAAAGAUACUAGAUAG